AGAGUGAGAGUAAGAGAGAGAGAGAGAGAGGAGCUAGCAUCUUAUUAAUUAUAUGGAGCUUCAAUCCAAUUCCAGCCACUGCAAAGUGAGAGAGAAGCAGUUUAUUUUAAAUCAACUCAAUUAAAUAUAAUUCAAGACAACCGAAAUUCAUUAUGUCAUGAUGCGAGCUUUUUUUUUUUUAAAAAAAAAUAGUGGAUUAAAAAAGACUGUUAAAUUUAACGGUAUGACAAAAAUUUUUGAUUUAAUUUGUGUGAUUACAAAAAUCUGAAUC
RNAcentral lists this long non-coding RNA (271 nucleotides) under Phoenix dactylifera (date palm). Its description in RNAcentral is "long non-coding RNA (PDAC_LNC001879)". The record is from RNAcentral. Lineage: Eukaryota; Viridiplantae; Streptophyta; Magnoliopsida; Arecales; Arecaceae.